AGAACUGGCCAGAUGCAGUAGUACAGGCCUGUUGUUUCAGCAGCUCAGGAGGCUGAGGCAGGAGGAU
Molecule: microRNA precursor, 67 nt
Filed under: Ictidomys tridecemlineatus (thirteen-lined ground squirrel)
Lineage: Eukaryota; Metazoa; Chordata; Mammalia; Rodentia; Sciuridae
Description: miRNA (ENSSTOG00000018269.2)
Source: RNAcentral